This is an RNA transcript of Hordeum vulgare subsp. vulgare (domesticated barley), 2943 nucleotides long. It is a transcript of the gene named crooked neck-like protein 1, with no coding region annotated. Lineage: Eukaryota; Viridiplantae; Streptophyta; Magnoliopsida; Poales; Poaceae. The transcript is spliced from 5 exons. The record is from RefSeq and is a predicted model, not a curated record.
AAACCCCUCAUCCAGCAAAGACCGAACCCCAAAUCGAGCCGAGCCGAGCCGCUCGGCCUCGCUCGAUCUGCCCCGCCCCUCGCGCCGCCUUCCUCCGCCCCAUCUCCUCGCCUUCCUCCACCCCACUCCGGCAUCGAGCUCCGCCGCGCCACCGUCCGCGCGUACAAGCAGACCUAAAAUCGAAUCACACCGUCCCUUGCCCCCUCCUCCCAAAACCCUAACCCUAGCACAGACGCCAGCCGCCAUGGCGCUCACCACCCGCGGCGGCGGCGGCGCCGACCAGGCGCAGCCUCCGCCGGCUCCCGACGCGAGCCUCGGCUUCCUCACGAAGCGCGACACGGAGGUCAAGCUCCCCCGCGCGACGCGGGUGAAGAACAAGACGCCCGCGGGGGUCCAGAUUACCGCCGAGCAGAUCCUCCGUGAGGCCCGGGAGCGGCAGGAGCCUGAGAUCCGCCCGCCCAAGCAGAAAAUUACUGACGUCCACGAGCUCGCCGACUACCGGCUGCGCGAGCGCAAGAGGUUCGAGGACCUCAUUCGCCGCGUCCGCUGGAGCGUCUCCGCGUGGGUCAAGUAUGCCAAGUGGGAGGAGGGGCAGAAGGACUUCGCCAGGGCUCGCUCCGUCUACGAGCGCGCCCUGGACGUCGCCCACCGCGACCACACCCUGUGGCUCAAGUAUGCCGAGUUCGAGAUGCGCAACCGCUAUGUCAACCAUGCCAGGAACGUCUGGGACCGUGCCGUCUCGCUCCUGCCCCGCAUCGACCAGCUGUGGUACAAGUAUAUCCACAUGGAGGAGCUGCUUGGUGCCGUCGCCAAUGCUCGCCAGGUCUUUGAGCGCUGGAUGGGAUGGCGUCCUGAUAUUGCUGGCUGGAACUCGUACAUCAAGUUUGAGCUGCGAUAUGGGGAGGUUGAGCGUGCUAGGGCAAUCUAUGAGCGGUUUGUUGCCGAGCACCCACGGCCCGACACCUUCAUCCGAUAUGCAAAGUUCGAGAUGAAACGCGGAGAAGUGGAGCGGGCGCGGCGUGUGUAUGAGCGUGCAGCGGACUUGCUUGUGGAUGAUGAAGAUGCAGAGGUGCUGUUUGUAGCAUUUGCUGAGUUUGAGGAAAAGUGCCGGGAGGUGGAGCGUGCUCGUGCCAUAUACAAGUAUGCACUUGACAGAGUGCCUAAGGGCAGGGCUGAGGAUCUUUACAGGAAGUUCCUAGCAUUCGAGAAACAGUUUGGUGACCGUGAGGGGAUUGAGGAUGCCAUUGUGGGAAAGCGGAGAUUCCAAUAUGAAGAUGAGGUGAGGAAGAACCCACUCAAUUAUGACUCAUGGUUUGAUUACAUCAGGCUGGAGGAGAGCGUCGGGAAUAAGGACAGGAUCAGGGAUGUGUAUGAGAGGAGUAUCGCAAAUGUUCCUCCUGCAGAAGAGAAGCGGUACUGGCAGAGGUAUAUCUACCUUUGGAUAAACUAUGCUUUGUAUGAGGAACUUGAUGCACAGGACAUGGAAAGGACCCGGGAGGUCUAUAGGGAGUGUCUGAAACUCAUUCCACACAAGAAAUUUACCUUUGCUAAGCUGUGGCUGAUGGCCGCACAGUUUGAGAUUAGACAGAAGAACAUAAAGGCUGCAAGGCAGAUUCUCGGUAAUGCAAUAGGUAUGGCACCCAAGGGGAAAAUAUUUAAGAAGUACAUUGAGAUCGAGCUUUAUCUGGGCAACUUUGACCGCUGUAGAACUCUGUAUGAAAAAUACAUCGAAUGGUCUCCAGCAAAUUGUUAUGCCUGGAGGAAGUAUGCAGAACUGGAAAAGAACCUUAGUGAGACUGAUCGUGCUCGAUCUAUAUAUGAGCUUGCUAUUGCUCAGCCAGCCCUUGAUACGCCUGAAGUUCUAUGGAAGGAGUACUUGCAGUUUGAAAUUGACGAAGAUGAAUUUGAUAGAGCAAGAGAACUGUAUGAGAGAUUGCUUGAUAGAACAAAGCAUUUGAAGGUAUGGAUCAGCUUUGCUGAAUUCGAGGCCUCAGCUGGCUUGGGAGAAGACGAUGGAAGUGAGGAGAAUAAGAAUGAUGCUGGUUAUCAGGAACAGCAGACAGAGCGGGUCCGGAGGUGUCGGGCUGUCUUUGAAAGGGCAUUCGACUACUUCAGGACCAAUGCUGCAGAGCUAAAAGAAGAAAGAGCAAUGCUCCUGGAAGAGUGGCUCAAAAAAGAGUUGAGCUUUGGUGAUCUUGGUGAUGUCACGUUAGUGCAGAAGAAGGCGCCAAGGAAAGUGAAGAGGAAGAGACCACUCCCCACGGACGAUGGCUCCAAUAUUGCGUUCGAGGAGUACAUCGAUUAUAUCUUCCCUGAUGAAGUCACGCUGGCACCGAACCUCAAGAUAUUGGAAGCUGCUUACAAGUGGAAGAAGCAGAAGGCAAACGACACACAGGAUGACUGAUCUGAACAUCCAGAGGCCGCCUGUUGUGAAUGGUUUCCCACCGUCAGAGACGAGUACUACCAUGCAAAAAUCAGACGUAGAGAAGUUUUCCAUUACGCGCGGGUGUAGGCGUGGAGUUUGCGCUGCCUCUUAUACCCUACAUAUGGCCUUUUUGCAGCUUGUUCAGUGGAGUUAUUGAAGCUGUAUUUCUGACGGAUGGAUGCUGAAUUAUCUGGGUUCUGUUACCCCUGGAUUGAACGGUUCUGGUGGGAAUUGGUCGAAACAAAUACCUCCAGAAAAGCUUAUGCGAACCAACAUUUGGUUGGAUGGUUUUAGGACAAUGCUAUAUCCGACGACUAUGAAGGCUUCUGUGGCGAUGUCAAGAUGAUGUGUUGGCCUAAUCUUUUAAGGUGCUUAUAGGGGUAAAGUUAUACAUGUGUGCGUUUAUAGAGAUGAAUGUGUGUACGUAUGAAUGUCUUCAUCUCCAUUAUAUUUAAGAAGUUUAAAAAGUCCUAAUGAAAACAAUUAUACUACCUUAAGGAAGACUACAUCUCUCAUCA